GAUGAACGCUGGCGGCGUGCCUAAUACAUGCAAGUCGAGCGAACAGACGAGGAGCUUGCUCCUCUGACGUUAGCGGCGGACGGGUGAGUAACACGUGGAUAACCUACCUAUAAGACUGGGAUAACUUCGGGAAACCGGAGCUAAUACCGGAUAAUAUAUUGAACCGCAUGGUUCAAUAGUGAAAGACGGUUUUGCUGUCACUUAUAGAUGGAUCCGCGCCGCAUUAGCUAGUUGGUAGGGUAACGGCUUACCAAGGCAACGAUGCGUAGCCGACCUGAGAGGGUGAUCGGCCACACUGGAACUGAGACACGGUCCAGACUCCUACAGGAGGCAGCAGUAGGGAAUCUUCCGCAAUGGGCGAAAGCCUGACGGAGCAACGCCGCGUGAGUGAUGAAGGUCUUCGGAUCGUAAAACUCUGUUAUUAGGGAAGAACAAAUGUGUAAGUAACUAUGCACGUCUUGACGGUACCUAAUCAGAAAGCCACGGCUAACUACGUG
Molecule: ribosomal RNA, 497 nt
Filed under: uncultured bacterium
Lineage: Bacteria
Description: partial 16S ribosomal RNA
Rfam family: Bacterial small subunit ribosomal RNA
Source: RNAcentral